ACUUCCUGUAGGGACUGAAAACCAAGUGAGUAGAUGGUGGAUUGCACCGUACUACAGAGAAUACAGAGAGGAUAGACACUGCAGAUAGAUCCUGACCAUCACCCCAGGAAAAAUUGCACAACUGUGGGAAGACAUCCAGUCCCUUUGCAGCAUUGCUAAACAUAGACAAGGUUCGAUAAAUGUGGUGAGAGCUUCAGUCAUUCAUCGAGCCUCAUGAACCACUGACUUAUUCCAACAGGUGAGAGGCUGUUCAAGUGUGAGCUGUGAGAGCGAUCUGCUGAGACACAAGAGAGAACUGUUAUGACCACUGUAACCACAAGGGCAGCUGUAUGGAAGAGAAACCCUUCAAGCGUGAGUUUGGAGAUAAAGAUUUUUUGGCGUCUUCUAACCUCCUGAGACACCAGAAAAAUCAUACUGGGGACAAACCCUUCAGGUGUGAUGUUUGUGAGAUGGCUUUCACACAAUCGUCUGAUCUCCUGAGGCACCAGAGUAUUCACACAGGAAAGAAACUGUUUACGUGCAAAGUGUAUGAUAAACCAUUCUCAGGGUCAUCGUCCCUCCGCCUUCAUCAGCACAUUCAGACCAGGGAGAAACUGUUCAGGUGUGAGGUGUGCAAGAAAUCAUUCUUUGAGGCAUCUAACCUCCGCAAACAUCAACGCAUCCACACCGGAGAGAAGCCAUUCACAUGCGGGGUGUGCGACAAGUCAUUCUCACUGUCAUGGACCCUCCGUGUACACCAACACAUUCACACAGGGGAGAAACCAUUCACGUGCGAGGUGUGCAACAAAUCAUUCUCACAGUCAUCAAACCUGCGUGUACACCAACAGAUUCACACAGGGGAGAAACCAUUUCCAUGUGGAUUAUGCAACAAAUCAUUCCCGAGUUCAUCGCAAUUCCUCAUGCACCAGCACAUACACACUGGAGAGAAACCAUUCACGUGUGAUGUGUGCAACAAAUCAUUCUUGAACUCGUCGUCCCUUCAUCAACACCAACGCAGUCACACAGGUGAGAAACCAUUCACAUGCGAGGUCUGCAACAAAGCAUUCUCGCAGUCAUCGAACCUCCACGUACACCAACGCAGUCACACAGGGGAGAAACCAUUUACUUGCGAGGUGUGCAACAAAUCAUUCUCACAGUUCGCAAACCUCCGCAUACACCAGCGCAUCCACACAGGGGAGAAACCAUUCACAUGCGAGGUGUGCGACAAGUCAUUCUCACGGUUGGCGAGCUUCCGCAUACACCAACGCAUUCACACAGGGGAGAAACCAUUCACAUGUGAGGUGUGUGACAAGUCAUUCUCGCGGUUAGUGAGCCUCCGCAAACACCAACACAUUCACACAAGGAAGAAACCAUUCACUUGCAAGAAUGCAACAAAUCUUUCACACAGUUAAUGACCCUCCAUGGACACCAACGCAUUCAUACUUGGGGAAAGCCAAUCAUGUGUGGUGUGGAACAAAUCAUUCUCCAAGUUAUUGACCCUCCACACACAUCAAUGCAGUCACACGGGAGAAACCAUUCACAUGUAGGUUAUGCAAGUCAUUCUUGAAUUUAUUGCAAUUCCUCAUGCACCAAUACAAACAUACUGGGGAGAAAACACUCACGUGCAAGAUGUGCAACAAAUCAUUCUUAAACUCAUCAUCAUUCCAAACACACCAACGCAUUCACACAGGACAGAAACCAUUCACAUGCAAGGUGUGCGACAAAUCUUUCUUGCAGUCAUCGAACCUCCAAUCUCACCACUGCAUUCACACCAGGGAGAAUCCAUUCAUAUGUAAGGAGUGCAAUAAAUCAUUCUUGCAGUUAGCGACCUUCUGCAACCACCAACGCAUUCACACGGGAGAAACCAUUUACAUGUGAGGUGUGCGACAAAUCAUUCUCUCAAUUAACGAGCCUCUUGGUCCAUUGGAGGAUUGACACAGGAGAAGACCUUCAGAUGUGAGGUGUGUGACAAAGCUUUCACACAGUCAGUGGAUCUUCUAGUCCAUCAAUGCACUCACACAGGGGAGAAACCCUAUCAGUGUGAAUUGUUAAGCCUGCACAACUGGAACAUCAAAUCCACAUGGGAUUCAUCUCCUGAGACACCAGAGGAUCCACACAUGGGAGAAACUCUUCAGAUGUGAGGUGUGUGACCAAGCCUUCACACAGACAGCAAACUUCUGCAUACACCAGCCUAUAUACAUAAAGGAGUAACCCACUAAUUGUAAGUUAUCUGGUAAAGCUUUCUUGAUAACUUUGACCCUCCUUGGACACCAGCAGAAACUCUUCAGGUGCAAUGUUUGUGCCCAAUCCUCCGAUCUGGUGAACACCAGUUGGCGAGAAAUCAUUCAGCCCUCCCAUCUUUGGUGACUCACCCAUGGAUUCUGCUACAGGCACUGGGGGAUAGACUGGAGGGUAUCAGCUGCUAAUGUGGAUUCAUGGUUGAGCAGUUGUUCAAAAUCUUCUUUCCAGCCUUAACAGAUGGCAUUUUCAUCCUUUAGAAGAGAAACACCAUCCUGUGAACAAAGGGGACUUUGUCCAUUUGACCUCGGUCGAUAGAUGACACUGAUUUGUCUUUGAGCAUCAGCCUUGAGAUGUUGAAAUGCUGCCUUCUUGAGUUGUGACUUUGGGUUGCUCUGCCAGGCAAUGGAGGCCGAUAGUUUUCAUUCCAGAUGGGGAUCACGUAUUUGAGGGUCAUGUUUGUCGAACCAGUCCCGGCGAUGACGAUGCUCAAACCCAGUGGUCUGGACACAGGAGUUUAGUACAGCUGACUUAAUUUGAUCACACUAUUUGGAAAUUGAGUUGGAUGUGUGAAGAUUUUCCAGAUUGGUCAUGAGCUGCCCCUGGAAUUCCUCCCUUUGGUCGGGCUGUUUUAGGGCCGAGACAUUGAGCUUCUUCCUCUUGGACUUCUGGUCCUUGUGAUGUCUUAGAGCUGGGUGGAUAUUCAUCAGUGAUCGAACAAGUCGAUGAUCUGUCCAGCAGGCAUCAGUCCCCCACAUGGAUCCAGUGAUACAGACAUCACUUACAACUUUGACUUGGCUUUAGACCUUCCAUGUAUUUUUUAAUUCAUUCGCGGAUGUGGGCUUCACGGGCUGGGCCAGCUUUUAUUGCCCAUCCCUAGUUGCCCUUGAUAGGUGUUGGUGAGAUGCUUUCUUGAACUGCUGCAGUCCAUGUGGUACCUACUAAGGUCGGUGUCACUUCUGAUCAUCGGAAUUGGGAGCCAGAUUUAAGCACAGGGAUUUUAAAGAAACUUUUGUCUGCAGUGUUCUGAGGGAGUUUCCCCUGAUGUGAAGAGUGUGAGUGUGUGUUAGUAAAGUAAGCCAGCUCUCAGGAGUGGGUUUGGGGUAGAAUCAGACCUUGCUUUAGUUUGGUGAUGUGGAUUAUAGACAGAUCCUCUUCAGCUGUUGGGUGUUUGACUAAUACCAUGGGUAAUGUUUGUACUCUCCUGUCUGGGAGGAUUACUAUCCUGAGUAUGGUGAGGGAGUUGGGGUGAGUCUCUACAGAUCUGAGUUCCCUCAGCCCAUCAUACCUCGAUGUAAUAACAGUGUGAUAUGUUCACCUUAUACUCUUCCAAGAUUCAUUUCAUGUUCUGGGAAAGAUCUUGAGUCAUUUUCAAAUUUAUUCUUUUGGUUGAUUCAAAGUUUGGUUGAAGCUGAAUAUUGUGUUGUUGUUUGUCUGCUGUUUUAACAAUCCUCUGUAUAUAUUUUUAACUCAUAAUAAAUUCACUUUUUUAACUUAACCAAACCAA
Molecule: RNA transcript, 3724 nt
Organism: Carcharodon carcharias (great white shark)
Lineage: Eukaryota; Metazoa; Chordata; Chondrichthyes; Lamniformes; Lamnidae
Gene name: zinc finger protein 239-like
Exons: 4
Source: RefSeq, a predicted model, not a curated record